Molecule: small nuclear RNA, 197 nt
Organism: Lycium ferocissimum
Lineage: Eukaryota; Viridiplantae; Streptophyta; Magnoliopsida; Solanales; Solanaceae
Product: U2 spliceosomal RNA
Exons: 1
Source: RefSeq, a predicted model, not a curated record
AUACCUUUCUCGGCCUUUUGGCUAAGAUCAAGUGUAGUAUCUGUUCUUAUCAGUUUAAUAUCUGAUAUGUGAGUCAUCGAUUCACACGAUAUUAACUUUAUUUUUUAAGAGGGAAAGAUCACCACGGUAGCUUGCUAUUGGGGCCUUCAAGUGUCGUCUUGGCGUUGCACUGUUGCCUUUGGCCUGGCGCACCCCAC